This is a long non-coding RNA of Sardina pilchardus (European sardine), 568 nucleotides long. RefSeq lists it as uncharacterized. The transcript is spliced from 2 exons. Lineage: Eukaryota; Metazoa; Chordata; Actinopteri; Clupeiformes; Clupeidae. The record is from RefSeq and is a predicted model, not a curated record.
CGACAGCGUCAUGCGACUGUCGUCAGCAGAAACUCAGCCUCAAUCAGCUCGGACCCUACUCUUUCCUUUCAGCUGAGGAGCGCUUGGUGUUCAGCAGCUCAGCUGUAGCCCGGACGUCAGCUGACAAUCCUGAAGGUGAUUGAGCCACAGAGGAGAACCCAGGAACCUCGAUCUGGAGCAGGAGCAUCCUGAUGGCUUACUCAAGGUUGGCAUUCUGGAACACGAAGUUGUGUGCCUUUGACCGAGUGAGCCGGCUGCGCCUCUCUGAGAUGAUCUGCCCCAUUUUGCUAAACACUCGUUCAGAUGGCACAGAGGUCGCGACAAGCCGUGGAGUCAGCCGUGGGAAUACCAGUGCCCUGUUCUUCCACCAGAUCAGGGGGUUGCAGGACCUAGGGAUCAGGGCCUCCUGGAGGAAGGACCGGAUCUCGAGGGUCGCUUCUGUGUGAGCACUGAUGUGACUCACAAGCCCCGACACCUGUUCAUCAAAGUCCCCCCAGACCUGGCUGGCCUCGAUUGGAGCUUCUUACUGUAGUUUAAAUUUCAAAAUAAAUCAUCCAUUUGGAUUGAU